GCCGUUGUGGCUCAGUGGUUGAGCAUUGACUCAUAAAUCAAGAGGUCACAAGUUCGAUUCCCCGUCAAGGGCA
Molecule: transfer RNA, 73 nt
Filed under: Myotis brandtii (Brandt's bat)
Lineage: Eukaryota; Metazoa; Chordata; Mammalia; Chiroptera; Vespertilionidae
Rfam family: tRNA
About the family: Transfer RNA (tRNA) molecules are approximately 80 nucleotides in length. Their secondary structure includes four short double-helical elements and three loops (D, anti-codon, and T loops).
Source: Rfam by way of RNAcentral